Molecule: long non-coding RNA, 1875 nt
Filed under: Olea europaea subsp. europaea
Lineage: Eukaryota; Viridiplantae; Streptophyta; Magnoliopsida; Lamiales; Oleaceae
Source: RNAcentral
UUUUACAAGAGCGCCAAUGAUGAGCAUGAGAGAAGUGUGCUAAAAAAGUUGCAGCAACAAUGUGGUGGUCUAUUUACAUAAAAAAAAAAAAAUGGAGAGAAUGGUUAGCUCAUGUUAUCUAUAUGCUGAAUCACAGCUCUCAUCGCGAUCUUAACAUCACCUCUGUUUCACCUUUUUCAACUAUUCCAAGUUUUAACACUAAAAAGAGAAAAUCAAACCAGCUUUGAAGAGUAUCUUAGCAAUAAUCCAAAUGCAAGUCCCUGGAUUGAUUUGAUUGUUACUGUCUUGACUACUAGUUUCUGGCCAAGUUACAACUCCUUUGAUCUUAAUCUCUCUGCUGAGAUGGUACGAAUGUAAGCAAUGUCUCUUUUUAAUGGAAUAGAUCGAUUGACACUAUAUUUCUUUAUUACUAUGAACUUCUGUGUUAGGUCAAGUGCGUUGAAGUAUUUAGAAACUUCUACUAGACGAAAAUGAAACACAAAAAACUAACAUGGAUAUAUUCUUUGGGUACUUGUAACGUCAACAGAAAAUUUGAACAAAGAACUAUAGAGUUGAUCGUGACAACCCACCAAGUGAUUUAAUAUGACUAACUUGUAAUUGAUAUCACUUGAUGACUGAAAGUUCUUUCCCUUUUUGUAGGCUGCUGCAUUGCUUUUGUUCAAUUCGUCAGAUAGAUUAAGUUAUAAGAAAAUAAUGACAAAGUUGAAUCUAUUAGAUGAUGAUGUUGUCAGGUUGCUGCAUUCCUUUCAUGUGCUAAGUAUAAGAUUCUUAACAAGGAGCCAAACAUUAAAACAGUUUCUUCAACUGAUGUUUUUGAAUUCAACUCCAAGUUUACCGAUAAAAUGAGAAGAAUCAAGGUAAUCACUCACCCCAACCCCAUUCUCCCGAAAGCCAAGUGGGAGAGAGAAAAAUGAUAAGGCAGCUAAAGAUUACUUUUAUAACUCAGCACUCAACUCGUGGCCCAGGUUCAUGUUAGUCACUGAACUUUAUUUUCCAAAGUGGCUAAUGUAGUUUGCGUGUUGCUUCUGUUAGAUCCUCAGUAAAAAUCUAUUAAUUUCUAAUGGAAUGUCUGACUCGGACCUCCAUGUUGAUGCCACAUUAGAUUGUUGUCUUCCAUGUUGGACAGUUUUUUAAAAAGAAUCAAAAAGUGAACUUCAUUUACAAUUUGAAAAAUAAAUAAAGUAUGGUGAAUAAAAUAAAACUUUGAUAUCAGUUGAGUGACUGACUAUGUUUUGAUCCCGAGGGUAAAAUGAAAAGAGGAAUACGAAGUAAAAUAAAUUCUAAUGUUAUUGCAUUGUUUUCAUAUACAUUAUCUGUUUGUAACCGUUGCCAUGGAAGUGCAGAUCUCUCUCCCUCUAAUCGAUGAGAAGAAAAAGAUAAUUGAAGGUGUUGACAAGGAAAGAUGGUACGCCAUAGAUGCUUAAGUUGUGCUUAUAAUGAAAUAUAUGAAAGUUUUAGGUUAUCAACAGUUGGUUAUGGAGUGUGUAAGAGCAAUUGGGGUACGUGUUCAAGGUUCUUCUAGUUGACCGAUUUAUUUUGUUCUGAUUGAACUAAUGAAAUAUAAAUGUGCACUCUAUAGCCCGAUGUUAUUGAAGAAUUGAUCAAUCAAGAUCAUUUGGAGAUCCAGAGUCGUUCAAAUACUUGUCUUUAUUCAUGUAUUCCAAUCUUAAUGUAUAUCUGUGCAAAGAGGAUGAGGACAUAUGGUCAACCACAAACAUCUCAAGUGACCUUUGGUUGCUUCAAUGAAAUACAAAAUUUAACCUAAAAGUGAGUCUCACACAUCGUCUAAAACAGUUUAAUAAUUUCCAUUCUAGUAUUCAAGAUAAUCCAGCCUCCUUCCAUCUUCGUAGUGCCAUCCUUGUAUGUUUAAUCUGG